AGUGAACGCUGGCGGUAGGCCUAACACAUUCAAGUCGAACGGCAGCACAGUAAGAGCUUGCUCUUACGGGUGGCGAGUGGCGGACGGGUGAGGAAUACAUCGGACUCUACUUUUUCGUGGGGGAUAACGUAGGGAAACUUACUCUAAUACCGCAUACGACCUACGGGUGAAAGCAGGGGAUCUUCGGACCUUGCGCGAUUGAAUGAGCCGAUGUCGGAUUAGCUAGUUGGCGGGGUAAAGGCCCACCAAGGCGACGAUCCGUAGCUGGUCUGAGAGGAUGAUCAGCCACACUGGAACUGAGACACGGUCCAGACUCCUACGGGAGGCAGCAGUGGGGAAUAUUGGACAAUGGGCGCAAGCCUGAUCCAGCCAUACCGCGUGGGUGAAGAAGGCCUUCGGGUUGUAAAGCCCUUUUGUUGGGAAAGAAAAGCAGCAGGUUAAUACCCCGCUGUUCUGACGGUACCCAAAGAAUAAGCACCGGCUAACUUCGUG
Molecule: ribosomal RNA, 492 nt
Filed under: uncultured bacterium
Lineage: Bacteria
Description: partial 16S ribosomal RNA
Rfam family: Bacterial small subunit ribosomal RNA
Source: RNAcentral